This 284-nucleotide long non-coding RNA is filed under the name Gossypium barbadense (sea-island cotton). RNAcentral's name for it is "long non-coding RNA (GBAR_LNC022693)". The record is from RNAcentral. Lineage: Eukaryota; Viridiplantae; Streptophyta; Magnoliopsida; Malvales; Malvaceae.
GGCCAUUAAGCAUGUCGUAGAUGACUGACCAUUCCCUUUUUAGACACCUAAUCCGAGAUUCAAUAUUUGGCUUCGCCUUCAACAUUGCUCUUGGUAAAGCCUUUUCUAGCAUUUUUCCUAGCUCGUUCAAAUAACUGGCCUUGAACCCGGUAUCAGCAUUAAAUGUUCCUACAUUGUGCAAAUCCACCAUGCAAGAAACCAAGACUGCAUCUUCUUCUGGAAUCCAUUUUCUUUUGCUUCCUCGAGAAGCUUGAGAAGAAGCAUGUGAUUGUGGAACACCUGAC